UUCCUCGUGGCCCAAUGGUCACGGCGUCUAGCUACGAACCAGAAGAUUCCAGGUUCAAGUCCUGGCGGGGAAG
This 73-nucleotide transfer RNA is filed under the name Saccharomyces pastorianus. Its description in RNAcentral is "tRNA-Arg". It matches the Rfam family "tRNA". From Rfam's summary of the family: Transfer RNA (tRNA) molecules are approximately 80 nucleotides in length. Their secondary structure includes four short double-helical elements and three loops (D, anti-codon, and T loops). Lineage: Eukaryota; Fungi; Ascomycota; Saccharomycetes; Saccharomycetales; Saccharomycetaceae. The record is from RNAcentral.